UUCUUUAAACUCGCGAAGUUGUAUAUGAGUAUCAUGCCAUCUCUUUGACCUUUCUUUACACAUUUUAGCAUUCUUAUAGGAAAACAGCCUCAGCUCUUCCAACUUAUCCAGUUGUAACAUCCUUCUCUCACCAGCUUGCUUAAGAUCAAAAUUUAACUGCUUCAAAGCCCAGUGAGCUUUAUUCUCCAAUUCUAAUGGCAAAU
This 203-nucleotide long non-coding RNA is filed under the name Gossypium raimondii (Peruvian cotton). Its description in RNAcentral is "long non-coding RNA (GRAI_LNC009033)". Lineage: Eukaryota; Viridiplantae; Streptophyta; Magnoliopsida; Malvales; Malvaceae. The record is from RNAcentral.